AAAAGUAAACCAUUACAGGUCAAAAUACAGUUUUCAAAACAGAGCUCACACGAAACAGCAAGCCAUUAAGGGCCACAAAAGCGGCAGCAUACACUAGCACCUGUAAUAGCUAGCAGUGUAGACAAUUACAUAUCAAUGUGUAUGGUGAUAUAGCAAUAGAAAUAUCACAUCCAUCAGAGGGAAAUAGAAUAUAGACAAUAGAAAUAUCACAUACAUCAGACUCAGAGGGAAAUAGAAUAUAGACUGUCACAAUAGAAAUAUCACAGACAUCAGAGGAAAAUAGAAUAUAGACAAUAGAAUAAGGGUAUGUCAAAGAGGCAAACAUAGAAAUGGGAUAUGUCAAAGAGACAAA
RNAcentral lists this long non-coding RNA (352 nucleotides) under Mytilus galloprovincialis (Mediterranean mussel). Lineage: Eukaryota; Metazoa; Mollusca; Bivalvia; Mytilida; Mytilidae. The record is from RNAcentral.